GGGUUGCAGGUACUCUGUUAUUUAUUGUACAGUAUUUCACUGAAAGUACAAAGGCAUCAUCAGUACUCACCAGAAUUGUAUUGUAACAGGUACAUUAUACCGCAUGUUAAAAUGUGCUGCUUUAACGAGGCAAGACAGAACACAAACUUAGAGGAAGAAAGAAAGGAGUUUAAAAAAAUGUAAAAAUACACUUUUUAGUAACUGAUCUGUACAAAAGAAAAAAAAAAAAGAAACUGAAGCAGAGGGCAGGGAUUAGAGCCCCCAAAGUCAUUUAUAACUAUUUAAAAAGGCACUGUUAUCUAUCAUGUCAUUAGGACCUUUGGGUUCUGUUUCCUUCAUACUGAUGACUGUGGGGGUAGGGGAAACACUGUUACUGAAAUGAUCAGACUCAUACAAAAGUAUUUACAGAGAAAGGCAGAAAAAUCCCCUCCUCUUGUUCCAAAAGAGAAACAUUUGCCCUGUGGGAGAGGACAGCCUUUCUCCCUAUCCUCUCUCCCUAGCCAUGCCAGACCCGUGACCUUGAGUGGGAGAAAUCAAACAGUGAGGAUGGGGGAGAAGCUGUCAGAGUCCUCCUAACAAUGGGAAAGUGUCUCUCUCAUUUCUGUUUUAUUGCUUUAAACUCUCCUAUAAUCAGGGGAGCAAGAAGAUAAACUAAAAUCCCUAAACCCCACACCACAACCCCAAACCACCCUGGCUGCAAGAAGCUGGGGGCAGGUGGUCGGGACAAACCGGUGAGGACCAAGAGGUAGGGCUGGCUGGAGCUGUCUUUCUAGAGAAAAGGGGGAAGAGAUGGGGAGAAUAAUGCUUCAAACUACCAGACAUUUGUGCUGCUUUUCUAAAUCUCUCCCUGGGAGCCUGACAGCCGCGUGUGUCAGCAGAAGCAAACCCAGGGCGCACGAACCCACCAGCCAAAGCAUCGGACGGCAGCCGUGGGGCGUCCCCGGGGCGUCUACACGUGGGCGCUCUUGGCGUGGGUGGGCGAGCUGGAUCCUGAGCCGUAGUAGAAGCGGUUCUCCCCGAAGGUCUGAGCGUCUCCUGAGCAGCAGACGAUGACACAGCCUCCAAAGAGGCAGAGGGCAGAGCCGAUCCAGCCCGUGUACAGCGAGUAGCCGAAGCUCAUGAUGGUGGUCUCGCGGUGGGCGCACACCGGGAACCAGAUGGUCGCCACGACGCCGCACAUGGCUGGGGACGGGGGAAGGACAGCGUUAGGGUUCUGGCCUGGAGGGAGUGACAGCAGAGCGUCACACGUGUCUAGGGAUGGAGAGGAAACCCAUCCCUCCUCCCUUCCAGUCCCACCCCAGAAGAAGCGGCAUCAGCGCUGGGUCCAGGAGAUCUCCAAGCAGGAGGGAACAUGGGAGCCUCAGGAGUGAGAGAUGGAGAGAGAACAGCCAUCUCUCUCAGGAAGGAAAAACAACAGCUGCCUGACACAACAUAAUAUAUUUAUUAGAAGGGAAACAGAUUUGUUCCCUAAAAAUAUCGUCAAGAGGGAAAAAAUGAGAGUCAUCCCUGAAACUGAUGUUGUGGAGAAGUGCAGAAUUAGGAAUAGAUUAGAUAUGAAGAGGCCAUGAAAACCAUAUGGAUCAAUGAGAGAAUAAAAUCUGUGGACCUGUGUGAACUGCUGUAAAUCCCUAUUUCCACAUGGACUCACCUGCUGUGUCCUCAGCCCAUGUCCCUCCUCAUCAUUGCAGUGGCUCUACUGGGUCACAUAAACUUCACCAAAAUCUCCCAGCACUCUAAGGCAGAGUAGGGUUUAUGAAAUACGAGCAGAAAAUGAGCAGGGACAAAAUAAGCAGCAGUUAGGCAUUGCUGGGGUUUUUUCAUGGAAAAGGAAAUGUCUCACAGCUCUGGAAAACAGAUUCUACUUCCAUGUGGAAAAUUUCUAUCAUGUGAUGGGGACAAACCCAGCAAGGCUCUCCAGAUAUUUACUGAAUUGAAUAAAAACGGGACCUGAAGAGUCUGCAGAAGAGAAAACAGGAUCCUACCUAAGGACUACAGUGGGUCAAAAAAUGACUGCAGGCUUCACUUUUUACUUGAUAUUCCAGAGGGGGUUUUUCCACAAAAAGCCAGAAGGCAGCUGCAGUGGUGCUGUGAGGUGACAUGUGAGGGAGACAGUCCCCACAGAGUCCCCACAUGCACUGAGGGCAACGGGAGUUGAUGGUGUUAAUCACCUCCCAGGAGCAGGUCCUAAAACAAUACUCCUUGAUGGCCUGUACAUCUGAGAAGAAUUAAUCUGUCAAUAUUUACUUGCCUCCGGGACAAGCUGUGCAGGACUCCAUCCUUGUGGCUAUCAGAGAAUCAGAGCAAAACAAUAACAGGACCAUGGCAGCGUUACAGAUUUCCACCGACCGUGUUAAAAGGUAUCUGGAGGCAGUGUCAGAAAGUUAAGGUUGCAAGAGGGAAAAAGAAAGGGGUGAGAGUAAAAAUAAAAUUGUUUAGUUAAAGCAGAGAACAAACCGUAGCUCCUGGCCGGUACAGCAAAAAACCCAUCCCCAAAGCUGUAGUUAUUGUGAGAGAAAAUAUUUUCUUAUGGAAAAGAGAAGAACAUUUGAAGGAUGCUUAUAAAGCCAGAAAUAAUUUUGGGCCUCCUCAAAGGAAGGGCCCCGCAGCUUUGGAAGGAAUUUUGGAGAAAGCAGGGAGGGGAGAAGAGCAUUUCUCCUGCAUGUGGAGUGGUCCUGCAAACAGCUCAUGAACCUCCAACGCUUUAAAACAAAAAUGUAUCAGUUGGGAAUCCACAAAGCAUUCUAAUGGGCUCUGCAAACAAAACUGCUUUGUUGUCCGAAAAAACACAAUCAUCUUUUCUUUCUCUGUCAGCAGUAAAUAUAUAUAUAUAUUUGUCUAUAGACUAUAAGACCCUUAUCUCUCCAGACCCUCCCCCACAAGACAGGACCGAAGAAAACACUUGCACUGGGGUGAGAAGAGCUCUCAGGGAUGCUCACACAAUGGCUUCUCUUGUGCAUGUGGUUCCACUACAUGUAAAACACCUUAUUUUAAUGCUGACAAUGCCAGAAACACAAGCCAAGGACUUUGCAUGGGUUCACUCGACCUCUCUGUCCUCGGAGGCCACCAGCUGCCAUCAGUCACCAGUGACCCCGUUGCUGAGCAAGAGGAAUGCCCUGGAACAGGACUGGGCUUCAUCGCUCUGCAUAGAUUAGGCUGGGCUGUAAAUCCUCCGAGGGGAUGGGAAAAGGACAGUCAGCAAUUGCAAUGUCUCUCUGUGGGCUCAAAUUUUAUUCUGGUUGUACCACAGGGAAAGGCUGAAAAAAAAAAAGGUGAUUUGACAAGAAACCAAAAAGAUUUGACAGGAAACCUUUUCCAAAGAGAUUGGAAAGGGGGUUUUAGGGCGACUUUCAAGUUCUAAAAUGGCUGCCUACAUGGAAAAGAAGUGUAGAUAGAAAUUGUUUUCCCUUCUCUUGCGCUAAUGUCAGGACAUCCUUUGCCUCUCUCUACACGAGAAAUCUUCAGACAGUAGAGCUGCUGCAGCCAAUAUAGUCUAGCAGAAAAAUAAAAGACGGUCUGCAAAGAGAAGGAAUAUUUUCUAUUAGAGCAGCCAAUUCAGUUGGGAAAACAAGCCUGGUUUGGGGCACAUGUGUGGAAAUCCUGCCUGCUUUUUGCAGCUGGAGUAGGCAAUCUUGUAAAAGCCACUGCCUCAUCCUAAAAAACCCUCUCAGCACUGCAUGGCAUGAAUGUCCUUGCUCCAUCAGAUUGCUGUGAAUCCACAGGGACACAUCCCAGCUCCCAGUGUUUCCAAGUCUUUUUUAAGUGUGGAUUUGCAGUAGCUCAGUCUGCUGAGCUGAAACCCUUAAUACUCAACAUCAGAGAUGUGUUGGAGUCAGAAGGACGUGCACAGAGACAAGAAGCACAGAAGGUGCUUGGGGAGCUGGGAGAGAGGGAACAGGAUUGUUCUAACCCAAGGGACAGUGAGUCCCUGCCAAAUUCCUUAACAGUAAGUUAAAGGCUUUUUGCAGAAGAAAGAAUACUUUUCUUUCACAUCUAAAUUUAACUAUUCCGAAUUGCUGACUCAAAGUCACAUGGAUUUCUCUUUCAAAGCAUUUAGUUGAAUAAAAUAGAUAACAUUUUUUUUUCUGCAUUCAAGGCAGUCUUUUUAUCUUAAUAACUAUGGUUUUACAAGUAAACCUCAGGCAGUCUUCAGGAAAACUCAUUAACACCCUUUACUUAGUACCCAAUGGCUUAUUUUAUAGUAGCAAUUCCCACUAACAUAUAUUUCAUCUAUUUUCCAGUGUCUGGGUCCCUCUCCUCCACUGGGAAAAUGUCCCCUCGGUUACCAGCAAGUGGUCCUCCAAAUUAGUAUCAACAACACGGGCUGGGCCAGGGAUUUUCCAUCAACACCAUAGUGUGAAAUAUUUUCACACCAGCUCAGAGCAAACCUCUGCUGACGGCUGUUUUCAGCCAUAAAUCAAUUCUCUUGGUCAGAUAGGAUCAAACAAAGCCAUAAACACAUCAGCAGCAAAACAGCAGGGCGUGCACACAGGUUGCACUCAGGCAGCCUGUGAUUAUCAGUGGACAGAAAAAUCAAUGGAAUAUCUGAGCCCAUUAUUUUCCUGGCAACUUUUCAGUUUUUUCUAUAUGUAUUUAUUCUUUUAUUUUCUUUUUGGCUCUGUGCUGUGUUUCAAUCCCUGUUUUCCCUUAUACCAAAUUUCAGUGACAAACUGCCAUCCCUUCCCUGAGCAGCAAGUGAAGUUUGCCUUGGGGCCAGCUUCCCUAUUUGCAUCCCCACUCCCUAUUUCUGCUGCAUUAAGGAGUGUUUUGGGGGCCAUUUUCUUUUAACCAGAGCUCUGGAUGUUGCUCUCCCCUAAGAGGAAAAGUCUGGAGCCUGUGAGGUUGUGGAAACCAUGAGUGAGAGUUCAGUGGCUGGAGGGUGAAUAAAAACAGUCCAGGGCAUGCUACUUCUAGAAUAUAAUGGAUUUUAACUCAGUGUUGUAUCUUCCAGAGCCUGAUCCAUGCUUGUUAACUGCUCUGGAAUGCUGACACCUCAUCUUGCAGCUAACAGAUCAUUAAUCAGCUUAAAUAAUGUCAAAGUCCUAAACUCUGUACAUUAUUCUUCUUCCAAAGGGACUGUCUUGCUGAUGGGCCUGGAAAAAAAUGGGCUUCGUAAAUAUAAAUGUGGGUUGGUUUCCUCUUUCCUUUAUUUAAAAAAAGCAACCUAGGAGCAAAAGAAGCUUAUUUAUUCUUCAUUUUUGAUCUGACAAAAAGAGCAUUAUUGUAAUUGUGACUAAAACAUUGUGACCAGGCUGCUGAUCCCAGCCCAGAUCAUUCAGGGCAUCAGCAACACCAGUAAAUCUUUCACCUGUAGGUGCUUGAGAGCUCACAGGAGUGAAAAUCAAUAAGAUAUGGUCUAAAUCUGACCCAAAGAUAAUUUGUCUGCCAAUGUCUCCAUGACACAAAUGUGAGAGAUGUGAUCUCUCAGGCUUCCUUUCCUCACAGGAUCUGCCUAGCUGGAAAGCCGUGUGCUGAGGCAGAGGGGGACCUGGUUUGUGCAGCACCACAACUCUCCAUCAUCCCCUCACACCUGCUCUCCUCCCUGGUGUCCCACUGCAGCGUGAUGGGAUGGGAUAGUGGCACACCAGACACCAAACCCUGGUGGGACACUGCAGCACAAAGGAUUUCACUUGUUCUAAUACAGUGGUACCCAACAGUGUCACUGGAAUUUGCUGCCUUUGGUCCUGUCAUCCUCUUUCCCUCUGGGAUUUUUAGGGACAGUCCUCCUGCCCCCACACCUGCAGCCAUGCAA
Long non-coding RNA from Taeniopygia guttata (zebra finch), 5749 nucleotides. NCBI's taxonomy places the organism in Eukaryota, Metazoa, Chordata, Aves, Passeriformes, Estrildidae. The record is from Ensembl.